This 216-nucleotide long non-coding RNA is filed under the name Trifolium pratense (red clover). RNAcentral describes it as "long non-coding RNA (TPRA_LNC011313)". Lineage: Eukaryota; Viridiplantae; Streptophyta; Magnoliopsida; Fabales; Fabaceae. The record is from RNAcentral.
CGACUCUUUCUCAGUUAUAUAUAUACUAAAAGAAUCAGUUUGCAAGAUACAACAAUUACAACACACGCUCGAACAAUUUCUCAUUUGCGAAUACAAGCUCUGAACCUCUGAACAAGUGUUUUUCCCUCUUAGUCCAAAUACUCUGUAGUUUUUAUAUACUCACUGUAUUUGAUCUUUAAGGUUCUUUUAAGAGCAGUUGUAUUACAAUCAACGAAC